CAGCAGCCGCGGUAAUACGUAGGUGGCAAGCGUUAUCCGGAAUCAUUGGGCGUAAAGGGUGCGUAGGUGGUGUACUAAGUCUGUAGUAAAAGGCAAUGGCUCAACCAUUGUAAGCUAUGGAAACUGGUAUGCUGGAGUGCAGAAGAGGGCGAUGGAAUUCCAUGUGUAGCGGUAAAAUGCGUAGAUAUAUGGAGGAACACCAGUGGCGAAGGCGGUCGCCUGGUCUGUAACUGACACUGAGGCACGAAAGCGUGGGGAGCAAAUAGGAUUAGAUACCCUAGUAGUCCACGCCGUAAACGAUGAGAACUNAGUGUUGGAGGAAUUCAGUGCUGCAGUUAACGCAAUNAGUUCUCCGCCUGGGGAGU
RNAcentral lists this ribosomal RNA (365 nucleotides) under uncultured bacterium. RNAcentral describes it as "bacterial SSU rRNA". It matches the Rfam family "Bacterial small subunit ribosomal RNA", at positions 509 to 881 of the family's 1533-position model. The record is from RNAcentral.